This 878-nucleotide ribosomal RNA is filed under the name uncultured fungus. RNAcentral's name for it is "bacterial SSU rRNA". It matches the Rfam family "Eukaryotic small subunit ribosomal RNA", at positions 784 to 1831 of the family's 1831-position model. Lineage: Eukaryota; Fungi. The record is from RNAcentral.
GCCAUAUGUCUCGACAUCCAUAGGCAUGAUAAUGGCAUACGACGUGCAGAUCUAAUAUCGUGGUUUUAGACCGUCGUAAUUCUACUAGGAUCGUUCGGGGCAUCAGUACCAACUGUCAGAAGGGAACGUGCUUGCAUCACCGAAGACUAGCUGAUGCGAGAGCAUUCACCAGGGAAGUCUGCAUUAUCAGUGACCGAAAGUUAUGCCUCGAGUACGAUCAGAUACAGUAGUAGUCUCAACUCACAAGGGUGCCGACUCGGGAUCGGGCGAUAUUAUCUUUCUGACUCGCUUGGCACCUCCCGAGAGAUCAAAGUUUAUGGGUUCUGGGGGGAGUAUGGUCGCACGGCUGAAAUUUAUAGAUAUUUCCGGAAGGGCGCCACCAGGAGUGGAGCAUGAGGCUUAAAUUGACUCAACACGGUGGAACUCACCAGGUCCAGACACAAUAAGGAUGCCAGAUGAGAGCUUAUUCUUGAUCUGGUGGUCGGUGGUGCAUGGCAGUUCUUAAGUUGUGGAGUGAUUUGUCUGCUUAAUUGCGAUAACGAACGAGACUCAAUCCUGAGAAAUAGCCCGGCUAGCUUUGGCUGGUACGAGGCUUGUUAGAGUAACUAUCGGCUCAAGCCGAUGGAAGGAGCAUGCUAUAACAGGUCUGAGAUGCCCUUAGAUGUUGUGGAGGUCACGCGACCUACCCAGACAGAGCCAACGAGUUCAUCACCUUGGCCGAAAGGCCCGGAAAAUCUCGAUCGGAUCUGGGGUCCGGCCGGCGAGCAUCGCAAUUAUUGCUCUUCAUCGGGAAAUUCCUAGUAGGCGGGAGUCUUCAGCUGAGCUGGAAUACCUCCCGGUCCUUGCCGAUACCCCCCCCCACCAAGGGGAACACUUUA